The sequence is a ribosomal RNA, 90 nucleotides long. It matches the Rfam family "Bacterial large subunit ribosomal RNA", at positions 2836 to 2925 of the family's 2925-position model.
CGUCGUAGACCACGACGUUGAUAGGUUGGAUGUGUAAGUGCAGUAAUGUAUUUAGCAAACCAGCACUAAUCGGUCGAGUGACUUCAUUUA